RNAcentral lists this ribosomal RNA (618 nucleotides) under uncultured bacterium. RNAcentral's name for it is "bacterial SSU rRNA". It matches the Rfam family "Bacterial small subunit ribosomal RNA", at positions 202 to 842 of the family's 1533-position model. The record is from RNAcentral.
CAAAGGUGAGCCAGUACAGGAUGGACCCGCGUCUGAUUAGCUAGUUGGUAAGGUAACGGCUUACCAAGGCGACGAUCAGUAGCCGACCUGAGAGGGUGAUCGGCCACAUUGGAACUGAGACACGGUCCAAACUCCUACGGGAGGCAGCAGUGGGGAAUAUUGCACAAUGGGCGAAAGCCUGAUGCAGCAACGCCGCGUGAGUGAUGAAGGCCUUCGGGUCGUAAAACUCUGUCCUCAAGGAAGAUAAUGACGGUACUUGAGGAGGAAGCCCCGGCUAACUACGUGCCAGCAGCCGCGGUAAUACGUAGGGGGCUAGCGUUAUCCGGAUUUACUGGGCGUAAAGGGUGCGUAGGCGGUCUUUCAAGUCAGGAGUGAAAGGCUACGGCUCAACCGUAGUAAGCUCUUGAAACUGGGAGACUUGAGUGCAGGAGAGGAGAGUGGAAUUCCUAGCGUAGCGGUGAAAUGCGUAGAUAUUAGGAGGAACACCAGUUGCGAAGGCGGCCCUCUGGACUGUAACUGACGCUGAGGCACGAAAGCGUGGGGAGCAAACAGGAUUAGAUACCCUGGUAGUCCACGCUGUAAACGAUGAGUACUAGGUGUCGGGGGUUACCCCCUUCG